AAAGUCGUAACAAGGUUUCCGUAGGUGAACCUGCGGAAGGAUCAUUCACGAUGAAGUGUGUAUGGCACUUUUUCAAAAAUCCCAUAUCCACCUUGUGUGCAACGUUCGAAGGAUCUUUUUUCGCUUCGCGUGAAGGAAGCCUUACAAUUUUAACCUGCGCUUGAACUAGUUUGUCUGAAUACAAUCGUACGACGAAUUGACCUAAUUCGAAAAUACAACUUUCAACAACGGAUCUCUUGGCUCUC
Molecule: unclassified non-coding RNA, 245 nt
Filed under: Mucoromycotina sp.
Lineage: Eukaryota; Fungi; Mucoromycota
Description: partial contains small subunit ribosomal RNA, internal transcribed spacer 1, and 5.8S ribosomal RNA
Rfam family: Eukaryotic small subunit ribosomal RNA (bases 1-47)
Source: RNAcentral